This is a long non-coding RNA of Oxyura jamaicensis (ruddy duck), 822 nucleotides long. RefSeq lists it as uncharacterized. The transcript is spliced from 3 exons. Lineage: Eukaryota; Metazoa; Chordata; Aves; Anseriformes; Anatidae. The record is from RefSeq and is a predicted model, not a curated record.
UACAGCUGUCACUUCAGUUAUAACUUACAGUGACAUUUUCACUUUCUUUCCUGCAGGGAAUGAAAUUGUGGUCCACAGACAAAAUCUUUUCCAUCCAAGUACACAGUAAAAUGUUUUUUGUCUUUGUCAUGUCUGGCUAUGGCUGUAUAUAACUGUCUUUUCUGUUAAUGCUUUUAGGCAGUGUCAGCUUUUUUCCACAUGCCAGACCCUCCUAACAGGAUCAUGUCUCCAGAGCAAAGCUUCCAAGCAUGAAUGCUUUCAUGAGAUCAGUAUCUGUCUUUUUUACUGGAGUAUAUGGGAAGAAUUUUCCACCUGGCAGAAAUGACAGAGAAUGCUAUUGAAGCUGUGGCCCUUGUUGUAAUGACCUUUUGUGAGUGUGGGAACUGAGGAGCACAUCUAGAUGUUUCUGAAAGGCACACAUGAAGGGACACCCUGUUCCUGGAUUUUUGAGAAUGAAGGCACUGAUGUGCCUUCUCAGUGUGUGUGUGUGUGUAUGUAUGUGUGUUUGUGGGGAGAAUUGCUGGAAAGACAUCUGUGAUCUUGGGGAGAAAGUCGUGUCAUCUCUUGUGUUUGAAGUAUCAACAAGGAUCCUCUCACAAAGAAAACAUAAUAGACUUUCAUUCUGCCUUAUAUCCAGCUUGCCACAGGCUCUACCAAGUAGAAAGCUUCUUCAUUUCUUUGAGAAACUCUGGCAUUUUUUUCUUUUUCCUGCUGAGAGCAGUUUCAUUAUCAGCCCAAAGGUACUUCAAAGGUAGAAUCGCAGCCCUAGGAGUCAACAGUGGCUCUUGAACAUGCACUUUCCAUUUGACAUUAGCAUUUCUU